RNAcentral lists this long non-coding RNA (2527 nucleotides) under Canis lupus familiaris (dog). RNAcentral's name for it is "lncRNA (ENSCAFG00000058582.1)". The record is from RNAcentral. Lineage: Eukaryota; Metazoa; Chordata; Mammalia; Carnivora; Canidae.
ACCUCAGGAGCUCCCCGGGGCCCAGCUGGCACGGGCGCCGGUGGAGGGACGCUGGAGCGGCCCCACGGCGGGCAGCGGCCCCGAGGCAAGGCCGGCCGCACGCGCCCCUCGCAGCCUCGCCGGCCCCGAGGCUCCUCCCCGAGCUUCCGGAGCUCUCCCGAGCAGGAGGUCCCCGCCCCCGAACCCCGAGACCCCGUCGCGCCGGCGCCCCGCCCCCGGCCCGCCCCGCCGGCCGCACCUGCCCGCGCGCACACGCCCCCCGCACGCCGGCCGCCACGCGCGCCGGGCCUCGGGCCGCCCCGCCCGCCCUGCCCCUGCGCCGCCGCCGCCGCCGCCGCCCCACCCCCACCCCCACCCCGGCACGCGCCCGCCGCCGCUCCCCCGCACCGCCCUCCUCGCCGCGGGCCGCCUCCGCCGCCGCCCAGCCGCCGGGCCCGCCGGGCGCGGGAGCCGAGCAGAGCCCGCACCGCGGCGCCAGGGUGCGCGGGCCGCCGCCGCCGCGCUCGUUGGCUGCGCUCAGGCUCCGGCGAGCGCUGUCUCCGCCUCCUCUUCCUGCGACCUCCUCCGUCCGCGGCAGCCUCCGCGCGCUCCCCGGGAGCGCCCCUACGCCCCGCCCGCGGCGACCAGGCCUGGGGGACCCGGGGCUCCGCGGCGCCCCGCCCGGCCAGCCCCCCGGCCCGCACAUGGUCUGAGCCCCGCGGCCAGAGCUGCGCCCUGACGCGAGGGACCGCGGCGUUCCCGGCCCGGGGCCGCGGGGACCUCCUGGUGCCGACGCUCUCGCAGUAUUUUAGGGUGGGGCGGGGAGGGCCCUGGGUUCCGGGGAGUGGGGGUGGGCGGGGAGGAGGGCCCGGGGGGAGCCGGACUCCGCCAGGGAGCCGGGGAGACACUAUGGGGAAGGACCAGGAGCUGCUGGAGGCCGCCCGCACUGGAAAUGUGGCUCUGGUGGAGAAACUCCUGUCUGGCAGGAAAGGAGGGAUCCUGGGCGGCGGAUCCGGACCCUUGCCCCUGUCUAAUCUGCUAAGUGACUUUGGUGAAUAGAAGAUUUAAGGAAAAGAUGAAUUGGGAACUGUAAGGUUUGGCUUUUAAGUUACUGAGAGAUUACUGGUGCCACUGACUUAAGUAGGAAUGUUAGGUUCUUUCUUUUCCUCUUCUUUAAGAAGGAUUACUGAACAUAUGUGUUUAUUAUCUUCCUUGAACCACCUUUGCAAGACGAAAUAAAAAAAAAAUUAGUCGUGAUGCUGGAAAUCAGGAAGAAUGGCCUAAGAAAACCAUAAUUCCCUUAUCUGUAAAAUCAUAGGCUUAGAUUAGGUGAUUGCUAUAUUUUUCAGAUUUCUAAACUUCCAGUAAUUAUAUAGGCUAACUUACAAAUUCACAUCUUCUUACGGUAAUUUAUUUCACAGAAGAGACCUGGGAGAGCAAAUAUUAGAAUCAUAUUUUUGACAAUUAAUUUUUUGACAAAUUACUCUUUUUUUUAAAACACAAUUUACUCUUAACACAAAUUACAUUUUUGGGAAAAGGCAUUGGAAUAAGGCAGUAGUGUUGAAAACGUGAAGAAAAAAAGUCACCAUUUAAAAUGUGAGCUACAUAAAUUACUUUACUACUUCGGACAGCAAAUAAAUCAAUGCAGCUUAUCUUAAUAUAAUAAAUUUUGGCUCAAAUAUGAUGAAAAUUGAGUAUUGGGGAAAGGUAGCAGGACACAGUUAAUUCUGAUAAAAAUGAGGAAGAGUUAGGUGAGCAAAAAAAAAAAAAUCUUCCUCCAAGUUCUAUAUGUGUUUUUUUUUUCUAAGAUUUUUAAAAUUUAUUUAUUCAUGAGAGACACAGAGAGAGAGAGAGAGAGAGAGGCAGAGACACAGGCAGAGGGAAAAACAGGGGGAUCCCUGGGUGGCGCAGUGGUUUAGCGCCUGCCUUUGGCCCAGGGCGCGAUCCUGGAGACCCAGGAUCGAAUCCCACGUCGGGCUCCCGGUGCAUGGAGCCUGCUUCUCCCUCUGCCUGUGUCUCUGCCCCCCCCCCCUCUCUCUGUGUGACUAUCAUAAAUAAAUAAAAAUUAAAAAAAAAAAAAAACAGGCUCCCUGCAGGGAGCCCGAUGUGGGACUCCAUCCUAGGACCUCGAGAUCACGCCCUGAGCCGAAGGCAAAUGCUCAGCCUCUGAGCCACCCAGGCAUCCCAGCAUUAGGUGUUUAUACAGCAAAGUUUUCUUGUCCUGUCAAAACUCCAGUUUUGGGACACGAUCUUUCCAUUCCUAAGCCACUCUACUUUAGAUCUGAAUUUUGUAGACCAUCUCCUGGGAAGAGCCUGGAUUAUUAGUUAUCUCUGUCUAGAAGGAAGGCUGGGCACAUUGAUUUAUGGCUCUAACAGGAAUGAAGACAAUAAGGAAGAGGGAGUUCUCUAAAAUGAAAUGGAGUGCUGUUACCAAAAGAAGGAAGAAAUGAAUUAUAGGCAACCGGCUCCCCACGAAUGUUUACUAUAUAGUCCAAGUUGAGGAAUAUGUCUAAGCAAAGGAACUCCUACUUUAGAUGGAAUAAAGACC